UACGUAGGGUGCAAGCGUUGUCCGGAAUUAUUGGGCGUAAAGAGCUCGUAGGCGGUUUGUCGCGUCUGCUGUGAAAACCCGAGGCUCAACCUCGGGCCUGCAGUGGGUACGGGCAGACUAGAGUGCGGUAGGGGAGAUUGGAAUUCCUGGUGUAGCGGUGGAAUGCGCAGAUAUCAGGAGGAACACCAAUGGCGAAGGCAGAUCUCUGGGCCGUAACUGACGCUGAGGAGCGAAAGCGUGGGUAGCGAAUGGG
RNAcentral lists this ribosomal RNA (253 nucleotides) under uncultured bacterium. Its description in RNAcentral is "partial 16S ribosomal RNA". It matches the Rfam family "Bacterial small subunit ribosomal RNA", at positions 524 to 776 of the family's 1533-position model. The record is from RNAcentral.